CCUACGGGAGGCAGCAGUGAGGAAUAUUGGUCAAUGGGCGGAAGCCUGAACCAGCCAAGUAGCGUGCGGGAUGAAGGCCCUACGGGUCGUAAACCGCUUUUGCACGGGGAUAACACCCUCCACUUGUGGAGGUCUGCAGGUACCGUGCGAAUAAGGGCCGGCUAAUUCCGUGCCAGCAGCCGCGGUAAUCCGGAAGGCCCGAGCGUUAUCCGGAUUCAUUGGGCUUAAAGGGAGCGUAGGCGGGCGUUCAAGUCAGCUGUAAAAUCGCGCGGCUCAACCGCGCCCCGCAGUUGAAACUGGACGGCUUGAGUACACGACAGGCAGGCGGAAUUCGUGGUGGAGCGGUGAAAUGCAUAGAGAUCACGAGGAACGCCGAGUGCGAAGGCAGCCUGCCGGGGUGCGACUGACGCUGAGGCUCGAAGGUGCGGGUAUCAAACAGGAUUAGAUACCCCUGUAGUC
This 459-nucleotide ribosomal RNA is filed under the name uncultured bacterium. Its description in RNAcentral is "partial 16S ribosomal RNA". It matches the Rfam family "Bacterial small subunit ribosomal RNA", at positions 338 to 795 of the family's 1533-position model. The record is from RNAcentral.